This is a ribosomal RNA of Otolemur garnettii (small-eared galago), 116 nucleotides long. NCBI's taxonomy places the organism in Eukaryota, Metazoa, Chordata, Mammalia, Primates, Galagidae. The record is from Ensembl.
GUCUAUGGCCAUACCACCCUGAACGCACCCGAUGUCGUCUGAUCUCAGAAGCUAAGCAGGGUCGGGUCUGGUUAGUACUUGGAUGGGAGAAAUGGCAAAGAGGCUUAUUUUAUAUU